RNAcentral lists this ribosomal RNA (1314 nucleotides) under Staphylococcus pseudintermedius. RNAcentral describes it as "partial 23S ribosomal RNA". It matches the Rfam family "Bacterial large subunit ribosomal RNA", at positions 1508 to 2821 of the family's 2925-position model. Lineage: Bacteria; Bacillati; Bacillota; Bacilli; Caryophanales; Staphylococcaceae. The record is from RNAcentral.
ACGUCCAAGCAGUGAGAUUGAGUGUUAGGCAAAUCCGGCACUCUUAAGAUUGAGCUGUGAUGGGGAGAGGAACUUGUUCCUCGAGUCGUUGAUUUCACACUGCCGAGAAAAGCCUCUAGCUAGAAUAACGGUGCCCGUACCGCAAACCGACACAGGUAGUCAAGAUGAGAAUUCUAAGGUGAGCGAGCGAACUCUCGUUAAGGAACUCGGCAAAAUGACCCCGUAACUUCGGGAGAAGGGGUGCUCUUUGAGGUUCACGCUUCGAAGAGCCGCAGUGAAUAGGCCCAAGCGACUGUUUAUCAAAAACACAGGUCUCUGCUAAACCGUAAGGUGACGUAUAGGGGCUGACGCCUGCCCGGUGCUGGAAGGUUAAGAGGAGUGGUUAGCGCAAGCGAAGCUACGAAUCGAAGCCCCAGUAAACGGCGGCCGUAACUAUAACGGUCCUAAGGUAGCGAAAUUCCUUGUCGGGUAAGUUCCGACCCGCACGAAAGGCGUAACGAUUUGGGCACUGUCUCAACGAGAGACUCGGUGAAAUCAUAGUACCGGUGAAGAUGCCGGUUACCCGCGACAGGACGGAAAGACCCCGUGGAGCUUUACUGUAGCCUGAUAUUGAAAUUCGGUACAGUUUGUACAGGAUAGGUAGGAGCCUUAGAAGCGUGAGCGCUAGCUUACGUGGAGGCAUUGGUGGGAUACUACCCUAAUUGUAUUGGAUUUCUAACCCGCAGCACUUAUCGUGCUGGGAGACAGUGUCAGGCGGGCAGUUUGACUGGGGCGGUCGCCUCCUAAAGAGUAACGGAGGCGCUCAAAGGUUCCCUCAGAAUGGUUGGAAAUCAUUCAUAGAGUGUAAAGGCAUAAGGGAGCUUGACUGCGAGACCUACAAGUCGAGCAGGGUCGAAAGACGGACUUAGUGAUCCGGUGGUUCCGCAUGGAAGGGCCAUCGCUCAACGGAUAAAAGCUACCCCGGGGAUAACAGGCUUAUCUCCCCCAAGAGUUCACAUCGACGGGGAGGUUUGGCACCUCGAUGUCGGCUCAUCGCAUCCUGGGGCUGUAGUCGGUCCCAAGGGUUGGGCUGUUCGCCCAUUAAAGCGGUACGCGAGCUGGGUUCAGAACGUCGUGAGACAGUUCGGUCCCUAUCCGUCGUGGGCGUAGGAAAUUUGAGAGGAGCUGUCCUUAGUACGAGAGGACCGGGAUGGACAUACCUCUGGUGUACCAGUUGUCGUGCCAACGGCAUAGCUGGGUAGCUAUGUAUGGACGGGAUAAGUGCUGAAAGCAUCUAAGCAUGAAGCCCCCCUCGAGAUGAGAUUUCCCAACUUC